RNAcentral lists this ribosomal RNA (405 nucleotides) under uncultured Desulfobulbus sp. RNAcentral describes it as "bacterial SSU rRNA". It matches the Rfam family "Bacterial small subunit ribosomal RNA", at positions 987 to 1382 of the family's 1533-position model. The record is from RNAcentral. Lineage: Bacteria; Pseudomonadati; Thermodesulfobacteriota; Desulfobulbia; Desulfobulbales; Desulfobulbaceae.
UGUACGUGGUACGGAUCUAGAAAGGUGAAGGACGGUACCUUCGGGUACCGAGCGUACACAGGUGCUGCAUGGCUGUCGUCAGCUCGUGUCGUGAGAUGUUGGGUUAAGUCCCGCAACGAGCGCAACCCUUGCCUUUAGUUGCCAGCAGUUCGGCUGGGCACUCUAAAGGGACUGCCGGUGUUAAACCGGAGGAAGGUGGGGAUGACGUCAAGUCCUCAUGGCCUUUAUGACCAGGGCUACACACGUACUACAAUGGCCGAUACAAAGGGCAGCGACACUGCGAGGUGAAGCCAAUCCCGUAAAAUCGGUCUCAGUCCGGAUUGGAGUCUGCAACUCGACUCCAUGAAGUUGGAAUCGCUAGUAAUCGUGGAUCAGCAUGCCACGGUGAAUACGUUCCCGGGCCUU